UACGGAGGAUGCGAGCGUUAUCCGGAUUUAUUGGGUUUAAAGGGUGCGUAGGCGGUUUUUUAAGUUAGUGGUAAAAUAUUGGGGCUUCACCUCACUACGCCAUUAAUACUGUAGAGCUAGAGAACAGACGAGGUAGGCGGAAUAAGUUAAGUAGCGGUGAAAUGCAUAGAUAUCACGCAGAACCCCGAUUGCGAAGGCAGCAUACCGGUGCACAACUGACGCUCAGGCACGAAAGCGUGGGUAUCGAACAGG
This 252-nucleotide ribosomal RNA is filed under the name uncultured Odoribacter sp. RNAcentral's name for it is "partial 16S ribosomal RNA". It matches the Rfam family "Bacterial small subunit ribosomal RNA", at positions 524 to 776 of the family's 1533-position model. Lineage: Bacteria; Pseudomonadati; Bacteroidota; Bacteroidia; Bacteroidales; Odoribacteraceae. The record is from RNAcentral.